Molecule: non-coding RNA, 72 nt
Organism: Irpex rosettiformis
Lineage: Eukaryota; Fungi; Basidiomycota; Agaricomycetes; Polyporales; Irpicaceae
Source: the annotation of a GenBank genome assembly
GGGCGUUUAGCUCAGGGGUAGAGCGCUCGCUUUGCAUGCGAGAAGCCGUGGGUUCAAAUCCCACAAUGUCCA